GACUUAUCUCCCAUCUCCUGGCUGACAUCAUCCACAUUAAAACCUUCUUCCCUAGCAAUACUCGUUGUUUCAAUGGAUAGCUUUCGAUACAGUGAGAAACCACAGCUUGGCCAACACCCAGGCAUUCAGCAAUAAAAUUCUGGUGCUGUGACUUGGAUUGCAGUGCUUGUGGCUCAGUGGCCACAGGCUAGAGAGAUCUGGAAACCCUCCCAGCAGCUGCCCAGCUAUAUUCAUCCAGAGGCGGGUUUUUGUUUCUCUCUCUUCCCUCACUGCUGCUGGCCCCAACCAUAUUCUUGAUUACUUAUGAAGGACAGGCUUUGAAAUUUGACAUCUGUAUCCAUCAAGUAGAGACGGGGUUUCACCGUGUUAGCCAGGAUGGUCUCAAACUCCUGACCUCGUGAUCCGCCUGCCUCGCCUCCCAAAGUGCUGGAUUACAGGCGUGAGCCACCGCGCCCUGCCACAAGAGGGUAAGGAAACUGAAAUAUGACAAGGUUAAAUGAUUCAGAUGAGGGGCCGGAAAGCACGCCUCCCGAGACCCAUUCCUGGAAGCGGGUCUUUAAAGCUGCUCUCAGUUUAAAAUCAACCAAAUGCUCAGAUAUCAGAUGCGGAAACUGAGGCACAGGGAAUUUGAACAACUUGCUCAAGGUCAUAAAGCUAGAAGGAGGCACAGCCAAGCAUGGGCUUGUGUGACCUCAAAGCCUAUGUUCUCGCCACUGCUCUAAACUGUUUAUUCUGUUGGCUUGUCAUAAUGAUUGAAGACAAUGUAUAUAAAUCACAGAGGGUAGGACUCAGCUUGUAAUAUGUCCUCCAUACAUUUUAUCGAACAUUAUUAAUUAAUAAACAACAGAUAAAUAACAACAGUGCUUUGUUUGAUUAAAUUAUAUAUAUGAUUAUAUUUCUUCAGUGAAAUUGUUGGUUAUGCAUUUCUUACAAAUAAUUCACAAAUAUUAAUGAAUGUCUGUGUUGCAGCAGGCAUUUUGCUCACCACGGUGGACCUGGGGGUAUGUGAAAUAGGCACCAUCUCUGCUCUCACAAAUUUAAUACGUGCAGGCUGCUGGAUUGGACUAAAGUCCUGAGGAGAACUAUAACAAUCUCUUAGAGGGAACAGUGAUUAAACAGGGAUCAAUUGUGCCACCCAUAUAGCCUUCCUACUUACUGAUCAAGAAUGAUAGCAGACCUUAGCAAGUGCAAAUCAACAAGAGGAAUCCAAUGGUGCUAUUCACUACUAUGAAGCUUUUCAUUUUGCCUCUUACUAAGAUUUCAAAGCUAUUCUUGCCCCCCACCCCACACAAAAACAAAUACUGUGCAAUCUCACUUACAUGUGGAAUCUGAAAAAGUUGAACUCGUAGAAGCAGAGAGUACAAUAGUGGGUGCCAUGGGCUGGGGGUGGAGGAAAUGGGAGAUGAUAGUCAAGGGUACAAACUUUCAGUUAUAAGAUGAACAAGUUCUGGGGCUCUAAUGUACACGAUGGGUGGUGAUGAAUGUUUUAAUUAAUUUGAUUAUUGUAAGAAUUACACAAUGUAUACAUUUAUCUAAUCAUCAUAUUAUAUACCUUGAAUAUAUUUGACCUUUAUUUCCCAAUUAAAUAUUUUAAAAUAAAAUAUAUUUAAA
This 1611-nucleotide long non-coding RNA is filed under the name Homo sapiens (human). Its description in RNAcentral is "HSALNT0140192". Lineage: Eukaryota; Metazoa; Chordata; Mammalia; Primates; Hominidae. The record is from RNAcentral.